CAGAAGAUAAUUUAUUUAAAAUAUUAACAUUGGAAGUUAAAAAUUAAGUGUUGACUUAUCUUUUGA
This 66-nucleotide transfer RNA is filed under the name Inioteuthis japonica. RNAcentral's name for it is "tRNA-Pro". The record is from RNAcentral. Lineage: Eukaryota; Metazoa; Mollusca; Cephalopoda; Sepiida; Sepiolidae.